UCCCUGGUGGCUUAGAUGGUAAAGAAUCUGCCCACAAUGCAGGAGAUCCAGGUUCAAUUCCUGGGUCGAGAA
This 72-nucleotide transfer RNA is filed under the name Bos taurus (domestic cattle). It matches the Rfam family "tRNA". Rfam says of the family: Transfer RNA (tRNA) molecules are approximately 80 nucleotides in length. Their secondary structure includes four short double-helical elements and three loops (D, anti-codon, and T loops). Further hydrogen bonds mediate the characteristic L-shaped molecular structure. tRNAs have two regions of fundamental functional importance: the anti-codon, which is responsible for specific mRNA codon recognition, and the 3' end, to which the tRNAs corresponding amino acid is attached (by aminoacyl-tRNA synthetases). tRNAs cope with the degeneracy of the genetic code in two manners: having more than one tRNA (with a specific anti-codon) for a particular amino acid; and 'wobble' base-pairing, i.e. permitting non-standard base-pairing at the 3rd anti-codon position. Lineage: Eukaryota; Metazoa; Chordata; Mammalia; Artiodactyla; Bovidae. The record is from Rfam by way of RNAcentral. RNAcentral also lists the same sequence under 2 other names.